This 301-nucleotide ribosomal RNA is filed under the name uncultured bacterium. RNAcentral's name for it is "partial 16S ribosomal RNA". It matches the Rfam family "Bacterial small subunit ribosomal RNA", at positions 509 to 809 of the family's 1533-position model. The record is from RNAcentral.
CAGCCGCCACGGGAAUACAGAGGGUGCAAGCGUUAAUCGGAAUUACUGGGCGUAAAGCGCGCGUAGGUGGUUCGCCAAGUUGGAUGUGAAAUCCCCGGGCUCAACCUGGGAAUGGCAGUGGAUACUGGCUCGCUAGAGAGUGUCAGAGGAUGGUGGAAUUCCCGGUGUAGCGGUGAAAUGCGUAGAGAUCGGGAGGAACAUCAGUGGCGAAGGCGGCCAUCUGGGACAACACUGACGCUGAGGCACGAAAGCGUGGGGAGCAAACAGGAUUAGAUACCCGCGUAGUCCCUGUCUCUUAUAA